Morus notabilis is the source of this 669-nucleotide long non-coding RNA. RefSeq lists it as uncharacterized. The transcript is spliced from 2 exons. NCBI's taxonomy places the organism in Eukaryota, Viridiplantae, Streptophyta, Magnoliopsida, Rosales, Moraceae. The record is from RefSeq and is a predicted model, not a curated record.
UUGAUUCAAGUGACAAUAAUUUUGGUGGCUUGCAACUAUCAUUUUGUUGAAAAAUCAAAAUCAAUAUGUCUUCAAUCUAGUAAUGAUGAGUAUAGUGCUAAGGUGAUAGCUAGCCGAGUUAUAACUAGUUGUUGUUCCUGACCUUUGGCACUGUAAUGCCAUUGUUGUUCCCGACCUAUGGCUCUCUUCCUGCUGUUUGAUCGGUUUUGGCUUGGGAGGAGGCAAGUCUAGCACUCCAUUUCACUCUAACCCAAUAUCAGGCAGUGUCUUUCAACACCUUCCUGUGAGUAAUGGCUUUUCAACUACGGAUUGCUUCAAUUAUUGAGGCCUUAUAAAAAAGUGUUAUGUAAGCUUGUUCAUAUGGUGAGCACUACAUAUGGAGAAGAAGCAAGCACUGCCUGUCUAGGUGAAGAAAUUGAUGAUUUGAUGCCAGGAGACGACAUUGCAGAGUUGUGUCCCUCACCAGAAAACUUCAAUUCUGACAAGCCAAUCUUUGGAGUUAGUUUAUGUCGUUUUUCCUUUUACGACAAUCAUAUUUUUUCCCAGUCAAAAAUAAAGUGGAAUUCGUGCAGCAUAAUUCCAUUUCGUUUUCCUAUUUACGACAAAUUGUAAAUCAAAAUGGAUAUGAAGAAUAUUCGGAUAUAUUCCACUCCAGUUUCUUUUUUUCAA